GGAAACCUCGGUCAAAGUUUGCGCAGGCGCUUCUGCUUUCUCUUUCCUUGCUACCGGCUUCAGAGGUGCAGUGAUGGAGAAGAACACGAGAGGAGGGCGAGUAUGGAGCCACUCUGGCCUGUGCUUUACGAGCCUCUGGUCCCAAUUGGAGCAAGUUGGUUGAUUUAAAGGGGCUGCAUGUGAUUUUUCAAGCAAACCAGUCAAGAAGACGCAAAGUUUCUUUGUGUUGAGAUGUAAACACCUGAGACCACGUCCCUUGAAAAGAAAUGAAGCCUGUGUUAGCCACCGUGUGGUUAUCUGAUUCAUAUGCACAAUGGAUGCAGACCAUUUGCCUCUGGACUCAGAAGUCAGUUUGGAAACAGCUGCUCAGGUUACAGCUAAGAGGCGAAAAAAUGGUGGGGAGAACAUAGACCAGUUUUUCCAUCAUGCAGUGAUGUCUUUUCCUGCAAGCUUCCUUGGAAUCAUAUAAGCCCUUCAGCCAUGAUAUUAUAGGACCGAAGUAGAGGGAUCUCUUGUUUUGCCUUGGAACUUUGCCUGCAAGUUGCCUCUCCAUUAACUGCAAAUGCCCUGCAUCAAAGGACUAGCAUGUCAUACACAUGUUGGCACAGAGAGGGUAACAAAACAUCUGUCAAAGAGUGAAUGUCUGUGGGCAACAUGAAUGCCGAAGCAUUUCUAUAUGAAAGGUGCAGCUGUAAGAGAAGAAUGCAUUUCAAGAACGGAGGAGUUGUUUUUUUUUAUGGGUGCUGGCUUUUAAGCAGAAGGGCCUGGAAGUGCCGAGCCACCCAAAAGGAGUUUCCCUGCGUUGAACAAGAAAGCAAACUUGAUCAGCAGUGGUGGAAAAGUGCAGUCUGCCUUGGUAGUGAACCUUAAAGGAGGAAGCCAUGGAUUCUAAAGUAGUGUAUCCAGCGUAGCUGAGCAGUUAGAAGCUUGGACUAGUCCAUGAAGCUCACCAGGUGACCUUGGGCCAGUCACUGCCUCUCAAGUUAACCUACCUCACAGGGAUGUUGUGAGGAUAAAAUGGGGGAGGGAUAACCAUGCACUUUUUCCACAUCCUUGGAAAAAAGAGAAGUAAAAUAAGAACAAUAAUAAAAACUUUUCCCCAACAAAAAAA
Long non-coding RNA from Podarcis muralis (Common wall lizard), 1111 nucleotides. RefSeq lists it as uncharacterized. The record is from RefSeq and is a predicted model, not a curated record. Lineage: Eukaryota; Metazoa; Chordata; Lepidosauria; Squamata; Lacertidae.